Molecule: ribosomal RNA, 488 nt
Filed under: uncultured bacterium
Lineage: Bacteria
Description: bacterial SSU rRNA
Rfam family: Bacterial small subunit ribosomal RNA
Source: RNAcentral
GGCUCAGAUUGAACGCUGGCGGCAUGCCUUACACAUGCAAGUCGAACGGCAGCACGGGGCAACCUGGUGGCGAGUGGCGAACGGGUGAGUAAUGCAUCGGAACGUGCCAUUGAGUGGGGAUAACGUAGCGAAAGUUGCGCUAAUACCGCAUAUUCUGUGAGCAGGAAAGCAGGGGACCGCAAGGCCUUGCGCUCUUUGAGCGGCCGAUGUCAGAUUAGCUAGUUGGUGAGGUAACGGCUUACCAAGGCGACGAUCUGUAGCGGGUCUGAGAGGAUGAUCCGCCACACUGGAACUGAGACACGGUCCAGACUCCUACGGGAGGCAGCAGUGGGGAAUUUUGGACAGUGGGCGCAAGCCUGAUCCAGCCAUGCCGCGUGAGUGAAGAAGGCCUUCGGGUUGUAAAGCUCUUUCGGCCGGGAAGAAAUCGCAUGGGUUAAUACCCUGUGUGGAUGACGGUACCGGAAUAAGAAGCACCGGCUAACUACGUG